CUGCCCCCGAGCCCCGCCGCCGCCGGAGUGGGGGCGGUGGGUGAGGCGGUCCAACUCUUACCGCCCCAAGAGUAUCUGUUAGGUACCUACCGGCGUCACACCCGCGCCCCUCUUACGUCUCCCAGCAGGCAAAGUGGAAGAGGAGGGCAAAGGGGCAGUCCACAGAUAAGAAUGAGACUAAGAUGAAAGAGCAUGAACUUCAGUCACUGAAGAUACACAAUGUAUAUCUGCAUGAACAGCUUAAGUGUCUUCAAAAGCUCUAUGCUGUAGCAUACCUCGUGCUGGCACGUGGAAGUCUUUCACAAUUUGAUUCCUAGACUGUAAGUUCUGAUAAUUUGUAAAUAUGCAAAAAUGUUCAAAAAAUAUGUAGACAUAUAAAAAUGCUCAAGACUAGAGUCCUGGAAUGCUCCAUUGUAUGAAUGUAAAUAUAGCCAGGACUCUGAUCCUCCCUGCAGGGACAAACCCUGCAUUUGCUGCAUUCAAAGAACCUCAGCCUCAGAAGCCAAAUUUACAUAACCAAACUGUUCCACUAGCUGCACAGGGGGGAAGAAGCACGACAAGCGGUGAGAUAUAGGUGCAGCCUUGGGAGGCUGAGUACCAGAAGGAAUGUCAGAGCUUGUGGAGCACAUCUAUGUAGAUGUUGCUGCAUCCUGAUACAUGCGUGCUCUGGUUCUUUGGAGCAAUUGGCAGGAAAGUUUGUUCUCUGCCAGAAUCUCUUUUAGCAGAGUCACUACAGCACAUUUCCAAAGCUGAACAGCUUCUCUGGGGUCUGGUAUUAACAUUUUGGCAGACAGUCCUUUAUGCUGUUUGUGAGCACUUCUGUUCUGAGGCUGGUAUAUAUAUGUGGCAUAUAUGGCAGUGAGACUAAAUUUCUCAUCACUACUUUCCCUUCUGCUGGGAAGUUAACAUAUGCUAUUGCUCAGCAAAGGACAACAUUACAUUGUAGUUCCCUUAUUUAAAACAAUAACAACUGUCUCCUGCAUAGAAAACUAAUAGGCCCUGUCCCCAGAUGGUGUAAAUUAGCAUGGCACCACUCAUGUCUGAUUUAUAACAACUGAAGAUCCAGCCUUCCCAAUAUACCACAUGAUUAAGCAUGCACUUUACUAGCCUAGAAAUGUCUUGAGGGCCAUGUAAUUGUGUGGUAAUGAACUAAACUUUAAUUAAGUUCUCAUUUUGAAUUAGAAUCAAUAAGUCAAUAAAUAGCCUUCACUUGAUUUAGAUGAUAAAUAUGCCAGCUGAGGCUGCACUCUAUGUUCUCCCUACUUUUCAGGCUGUCCUUUCUUCUCCGUAUGUCAGAAUCUAAUGAAGGAGCUCUGAAGUAUGGUCCUAAUAUAUUAUUGUCACACAUGGUGAUAAUACUGGUAGAGUUAGGAGACAGCCAGGUUUCUAUUAUAAAUCCAGUUCCCAAGGUUUUAUAGCAUGUGUUUUAAACUGCAGUCAGCAAAGUUGUUUUUACAAGGAGCUGUCAGCCCCAGCUUGAAUUUUUGUCAAAAUAAAAUUAAAAAUGGAUUUGAUUGAUUCAAUCUGUCAAUUUUUCAGGAAUUCUGAAGCUAUUUUUGUUAACCUCCAGCAUAAUAUGCCUUAGAUUUGAAAAAUGCAGUUUCAUAGCAAGCUUUUAAACAUGACUAAUUACUGAUUUUUGUUGGGAGGAGAGAAAGGGCAAAUGGGUUUGUAUGGUGGUAAUGACUCUUAUAUUUUAAGACUGGACAAGACCUUUCUGACCAUCUAGUCUGACCCUUUGAAUAGCUAGGUCACAGAAUUUCACCCAGUAAUUAACGCAUCUGUCUCAGUAACUUCCAGGUUGAAUUACAGCAGAUCUUUAGAAAGCUAUUACUUCUCACUGUAGGGAAUGUCAUAGGCAAACUCUAUAAUCCAGUACUUGGAAUGGCACAGCAGAAGUUAUCACUUGAGACUUCUACUCUUCACUCCGAUUCUGACUCACUGUGUGGCCUUAGGAAAGCAACUUAAUUUUUCUGAUUUCUCUGUUUUUCCAUCUUCUGCAAUGAGGAAAAUAGUAUUUAAAAGCCUCAGAGAGGGGGUGGUGAGAUGUAACAAAUUAUUUGAGGAAUGCUUUGAACUAUUCAGAUAAAAAAUGCUAUUCUGUAAAAGUAAAGAAAGCCAGUACAAUGUAUUCAAAUUUGAAAAAUGAUUACUUUUCAGAAUGUGCUCUUUCUCUGCAUUUGUGUCAAGUUAACAGCUACUGCAGAACAAAUCUGGUUAGGUGAAAGACUGAAUCCCAUAGUUCAUUGUAUAGAAUACUUUAGAAAGAAAUAGUUUGAAAGUUGGCUUGGAUAUUUUCACUCCACUUGUAAUAUUUUUUGCUAAUAGAAUGGGUGGUUUUCAUUACAACCAGAUUUUGUAUUCAUUUCCACUGGACAAAGCACUUUUCAAUAGGAUUUUCUCAGGGUCACAAAAACUGUCCCUUUCUUGACUGUCCAAACAACUGGUAGAAAAGUGGGUUCUGGAGGGCAGUUGUUACUUUUGUGAAAUUAAUAGGGCAAUUUGCAUUCUGGACUUUUACUGUGACUGGCCACUGAAAAAACAGAUGGUUUCAUCUUCAAGACCAUGAUAAUACUGCUUGGCACUGGCAUGAAGAAAAAUUCAGACCGUUAUUCCUUAAAAAAUAUCAGUAUAAACUGGAAUAUCCAGGACCUUUUCAAGAGACUUUUACAAUUAAGUUCCAAUAAUAAUCCUUACCAUUUAGUGGCUCUAUUUACCCUGCUAAACACAUCUGCUUCAAAAAGUGAUUCUUGGAACUUAGGUUAGUGACACAGAAUGACCUGAACACACAUUGGGUAUCCUGCUGCUCCAAACUGGCACCUUUGUGUCCCUAAGAGAUAAUGAUGAUGAUGAUGAUGAUGAUGAGAGAAGGCUCAGGGGGAGUUAUUGCUCUCAGAGUUGUUAUUGCUCUCUACAACUACCUGAAAGGAGGAUGGAGUAAGAAAGUGGUUGGUGAUAGUAACAAGUGACAAGUGAUAGGACAAGUGGUCUCAAGCUGCACCAGGGGAGGUUUAGAUUGGGUAUUAGGAAAAAUUUCUCCACCAAAAGGGUUAUCAGGUAUUGAACAGGCUGCAUGGGGAAGUGGUGGAAUCACUGAUCCUGGAAGCAUUAAAAAAAAACAUGUAGACGAGGCCCUUAAUGACAUGGUUUAGUGGUGGACUUGGAAAUCCAGAGGUAAGGUUGCACUUGAUGAUCUUGAAGGUCUUCUCCAACCCGGCUGAUUCUAUGAUUAUUGUUUUAUAUUGCAGCUUUAUCAUUCAAAGUGUCCAAAAAACAAGGGAGGAGUAGGACAGUGAGGUGGGUAAGGUCCACACUGAUUAGCCAAGCAGAACUACUUACUUGGCCGACUGAAGGAACACAUCACAAUGAAAACCUCAGAGGUAUGCGCUGGGGACAUCAACUCUGCACACCUCAGCUCCUGGCCUGUCACUGUUCACCAGGACAUUUUCUAUGCAAGAGACUACAGCUGGAGCAUAAUGACUCCAGGAGCAGUGUCCCAGUGGAGAACACAGAAGACAGAUGAGGAAUACACUGAAGCAGUCAUUGCUACAGUGUGGCCAACCACUACUAUAUACAGUGGAUUUCUUCCAAGACAGAAAGCGUAGGGGGGAUUUUCCCAAAAUAAGGGUAAAACUUUAGACCUACAGAAGUGGUACAUUUGCCUCAAUGUAGCUAUGUAGCUGAUCUUGUUUUUUAAGGUCUGUACAGCUAGGUGCUUUAGAAAUACAGUGUCUGUGGUAAGAACCUGUGUUCUUUGCCUCUGUGUUUUUCCAGAUCAGUUGAAUUAGAAAUUCAACACCAGUUUAGAGUCCUCAAAGCCUAUGUAGGACUCAAGAGAAAUGUGUGUGAUGUUUUGGGAAGCCUCUGAAUCUUGGUAAUGGAGAAGAACACUUGACUGAAAUCUAAGUCCAGGGACAUACCCUAAGCUCCCAAAGUCAAAAGUAGUGACCAGUCUCCGCCCUAUCUGGGUGGGCUGAGCUAACACCACAGAGAAAUAGUGGACCAGACUGUAGAAGUAGCCCUGACAGCCUGAUACAGCUCUACUAAUGUCAGCCCUCAACAGCAGAAACUCUGAUUCUUCAUCUACAAACAGAAGAAAGAAAACAGAAGAGAAAAAGGUGUUUAAAUUUUACUUCAACUGGAAAUUCUUUAGCAAGUACAAGAAACGGUUUAGCUUUCUAAUUGCAUUCACUAGUGCUUCAACCCUUACAGCAGUUCUGCCUGACAACAGCUUUAGGGGAGUGGAGGGGCAGGGUGAAAGACAUUAGUAACUAUUCUGAGAGUUUAAAUAAGCACAAGUAGCAUUACAGGGCUACUGUGAUCAGUAUCUCCUUGAAGGAGAUAAUGAUGCAUCCUGGCUCUGUCUGGAAUGUGCUGAACAA
Long non-coding RNA from Pezoporus occidentalis (night parrot), 4382 nucleotides. RefSeq lists it as uncharacterized. Lineage: Eukaryota; Metazoa; Chordata; Aves; Psittaciformes; Psittacidae. The transcript is spliced from 3 exons. The record is from RefSeq and is a predicted model, not a curated record.